This is a long non-coding RNA of Folsomia candida, 1073 nucleotides long. RefSeq lists it as uncharacterized. The transcript has 2 exons. Lineage: Eukaryota; Metazoa; Arthropoda; Collembola; Entomobryomorpha; Isotomidae. The record is from RefSeq and is a predicted model, not a curated record.
UUGACACGAUUGUGAUGUGACAACGACGAGGCAAGAGAUAUUUUGGGAAAUGACUUGUCCUCUCUGAUCUUAUGCCAACUUUGGUGGUGGGUUCAUUGGAUGAAUGAAUGUUACAGUUUACGUGUUACAAGUUACCGUAGUGCACGAGUAAGCCCAGUACGCGGGUAAAAUACCAUGACCUGACAAAGAGGUCAUAUGCUGUUUGUUACGACGCUGAUAAUGAUCAUUUCCUCCUUUCUGAACAAGAAGACAGAGAAAUUCAUACGUAGACAAAUUCAUUCCACCCAAUAAAACGUGUACCGCUGUAAUUUUUGUCCUUCCGGUGCCCUCGGAUCGAGUGUGGGUCAAAGGUACUCCAAUUUCUCGGGCAGCCCUAGUUUCCUACUAAUCAGAUCACGACGUCGCCCACAGUUAAAUUGCAACCAAAGGUGGCAAGAGUAAAGUCCGAAACCGGUUUUUGAUUAAUGGAAAUGUAAAUCCCAAUUAGUUAAAUACUAUAAUUUAGUAAUUUCGUUCAGUUCUAUAAAGUUAAUCUUGUAUGUUAAAAUUCAAUCAGCUAAUAAAUAGCACGAUACGAUGGUGUCAAAUUUUCAGGUAUGUGUCACUCAAGUAUUAAAGUUGAUGAUUGAGGGGAAUAAAAUAAAUUGAAUUUGUUAAAAGAAUUUCGAGAAUUAUACAGAUAUUUAUUAUUUCCGAUGAACUUAUUUGAUAAUUUUUGUCAAUAUUAUUUUUUGGGAGUUGGUGAUCCCGCAGAGCAAAACUCUAUGCUGCCUGGCAUUUGAGAUAACGAUGACAUUAAAUCGAGUAUUUUUAUUAUAUUAAAAAGUUCCUUUAUUAGCACCAAACGUCUGAAUAUUUUUCAGUAUAAAAAUUAUGUGUAAACACAUUCAAAUUCUGAAUUUAACUACCCGUUCUAUGAAGGUGAUUAAAAUCUUACUAAUCGAUUGAUAUCAGUCUUUGUGAACCAGUCUCAAAAUUACAAAGAUUGACACGAAUCACUCGGUUUGUCUGGAUUUGUGUAAAGUUAUGAUAGUUAAAAUUAAUAACAAGUAAUAUUUAAAUAACAGCGUGAA